Molecule: ribosomal RNA, 465 nt
Filed under: Vreelandella stevensii
Lineage: Bacteria; Pseudomonadati; Pseudomonadota; Gammaproteobacteria; Oceanospirillales; Halomonadaceae
Description: partial 16S ribosomal RNA
Rfam family: Bacterial small subunit ribosomal RNA
Source: RNAcentral
CCUACGGGGGGCUGCAGUGGGGAAUGUUGGACAAUGGGGGGAACCCUGAUCCAGCCAUGCCGCGUGUGUGAAGAAGGCCCUCGGGUUGUAAAGCACUUUCAGUGAGGAAGAACGCCUGGUGGUUAAUACCCAUCAGGAAAGACAUCACUCACAGAAGAAGCACCGGCUAACUCCGUGCCAGCAGCCGCGGUAAUACGGAGGGUGCGAGCGUUAAUCGGAAUUACUGGGCGUAAAGCGCGCGUAGGUGGCUUGAUAAGCCGGUUGUGAAAGCCCCGGGCUCAACCUGGGAACGGCAUCCGGAACUGUCAAGCUAGAGUGCAGGAGAGGAAGGUAGAAUUCCCGGUGUAGCGGUGAAAUGCGUAGAGAUCGGGAGGAAUACCAGUGGCGAAGGCGGCCUUCUGGACUGACACUGACACUGAGGUGCGAAAGCGUGGGUAGCAAACAGGAUUAGAUACCCCGGUAGUC